Molecule: ribosomal RNA, 279 nt
Filed under: uncultured bacterium
Lineage: Bacteria
Description: partial 16S ribosomal RNA
Rfam family: Bacterial small subunit ribosomal RNA
Source: RNAcentral
UGCCAGCCGCCGCGGUAAUACGGAGGGUGCAAGCGUUACUCGGAAUCACUGGGCGUAAAGGAUGCGUAGGCGGUUUAUUAAGUCUUGUGUGGAAUCCUACAGCUCAACCUGGGAACUGCAUUCCAAACUGUCAAACUAGAGUGUGGUAGAGGGAGGUAGAAUUUCCUGUGUAGCGGUGAAAUGCGUAGAUAUAGGAAGGAAUAUCGAUGGCGAAGGCAGCCUCCUGGACCAACACUGACGCUGAGGUGCGAAAGCGUGGGGAGCAAACAGGAUUAGAUA